CCUACGGGUGGCAGCAGUGGGGAAUAUUGGGCAAUGGGCGCAAGUCUGACGCAGCAACGCCGCGUGAAGGAAGAAGGCUUUCGGGUUGUAAACUUCUUUUAAGAGGGAAGAGCAGAAGACGGUACCUCUUGAAUAAGCCACGGCGAACUACGUGCCAGCAGCCGCGGUAAUACGUAGGUGGCAAGCGUUGUCCGGAUUUACUGGGUGUAAAGGGCGUGUAGCCGGGCUGACAAGUCAGAUGUGAAAUUCCAGGGCUCAACCCCGGACCUGCAUUUGAUACUAUUGGUCUUGAGUAUCGGAGAGGCAGGCAGAAUUCCUAGUGUAGCGGUGAAAUGCGUAGAUAUUAGGAGGAACACCAGUGGCGAAGGCGGCCUGCUGGACGACAACUGACGGUGAGGCGCGAAAGCGUGGGGAGCAAACAGGAUUAGAUACCCCAGUAGUC
RNAcentral lists this ribosomal RNA (442 nucleotides) under uncultured bacterium. Its description in RNAcentral is "partial 16S ribosomal RNA". It matches the Rfam family "Bacterial small subunit ribosomal RNA", at positions 338 to 795 of the family's 1533-position model. The record is from RNAcentral.